RNAcentral lists this long non-coding RNA (998 nucleotides) under Homo sapiens (human). RNAcentral's name for it is "HSALNT0352748". The record is from RNAcentral. Lineage: Eukaryota; Metazoa; Chordata; Mammalia; Primates; Hominidae.
GAAAUGCUGCAGAGACCCAGCCGGAAACAGUGCUGGCCAGCUCACGCCUGACCCACCCUUAUUCUAAGCAUAGGGUCUGCCUCUGAAGAGCUAAAGACUUCCUGAAAUUUAAAAAUUAGUGCUUUUAUUUGCUUGUCCUGCUAAGACCGUAGGCAAAGGCCAUCCUCCUCCCAUUGACAGUUUAGAGUGGGCAGAAACAACCACGGUUACCCUAGAAGUAAAUCCAGAGCUGCGGGACGCUGGAGGACAAAACCAACCUUCCAGGGAAGCCGAGGAGAAGUCAUGCCUUCAAAAGAUGAAGAAACUGACAUCUGGAGAAGUUGAAGUAAUUUGCACAAAGAUUCACUUGGCUAACGGAGUUUUGCUCUGUCACCCAGGCUGGAGUGCAAUGGCCCGAUCUCGCCUCACUGCAACCUCCACCUCCCGAGUUCAAGAGAUUCUCCUGCCUCAGCCUCCCAGGUAGCUGCUCCAGGCGCCCACCACCAUGCCUGGCUAACUUUUGUAUUUUUGUAGAGACGGGGUUUCUCCAUGUUGGCCGAGACGGUCUCGAACUCCUGACCUCAGGUGAUCCGCCUGCCUCAGCCUCCCAAAGUGCUGCGAUUACAGGCGUGAGCCACCGUGCCCAGUGAACAAUUUAUUUCCUAAUCAUCAUGAAGAGAAGAAAAAUAAUUAUUUAUUCUCUGUUCAUGCUGGCACUGUGCCUCACAUCUGCAAUCCCAGCAUUUUGGGAGGCCAAGGCGGGCAGAUCACUUGAGGUCAGGAGUUCGAGACCAGCCUGGGCAACAUGGUAAAACCCCAUCUCUACUAAAAACACAAAAAUUAGCCAGGUGUGAUGGAGUAUGCUUGUAGUCCCAGCUACUUGGGAGGCUGAGGCAGGAGAAUUGCUUGAACCUGGGAGGCAGAGGUUGCAGUGAGCCAAGAUGGUGCCACUGUACUCCAGCUUGGGUGACAGAACAAGACUCCAUCUCAAAAAAAAAAUUAUUUUCAUUUUUCCUAAG